CAAAACUCCUUGCUAGGAUAGCGAGUUCCUACAACAAGCCAAUGCUGUACCCUUGCUGCCGGGCUGACCGUAGGAUGUUUUCGUGGUUUUCUACUUCAUAUAACUCAAAUGUGGAUAAAUUCCAUUAAAAAGUCCUUCCUGAAGGCUAGUUUGUCCCAAUGCAUGACCGCAUAUUGGAGCUGACAUUGGCUACGGAUUAAACGUUCAAGGAGGACUAGAAAAUAAAAUUAGCUGAUGUUUAAAGAUUGAUGCUAUGAAAAAAACAGAAAGAGGAACGAGAAAUGGAAUUAGAGAUACAAGAAAAGGAACUGAAUGAAAAGCGGAUGGAAUUGAAUGAGUUAAAGAAAGAAGAGUCUGAGAUGGAAAGCAAACUCAAUUCAAGCAAAACUCAACUUGAUGCAUUGACUUCUUCUUUACAAAGUAGCACCCUUCAGAUAAGUCAAAUUAAAAUUAAAAUUGACCAAAUACAAGAGCAACAUAGGUUAAAAGAGUGAAGCUAUCAAGGAUAUAGAUAAUGUGCUUUCUUUUGUUGAUUUCCAAAAUAUAUCAAACUUUACUAUGUAUGGCUUUUCUACACCUAAUGAUGACAGAGCCUAUAUUUCACCAACAUGUCCCAAAACCCUUUGAUGAAGUUGGACCAGCUGUAACUACACCUCUCAAUGAUUUUCA
Non-coding RNA from Parasteatoda tepidariorum (common house spider), 669 nucleotides. The record is from RefSeq and is a predicted model, not a curated record. Lineage: Eukaryota; Metazoa; Arthropoda; Arachnida; Araneae; Theridiidae.